This 2902-nucleotide ribosomal RNA is filed under the name Escherichia coli. Its description in RNAcentral is "bacterial LSU rRNA". It matches the Rfam family "Bacterial large subunit ribosomal RNA". The record is from RNAcentral. Lineage: Bacteria; Pseudomonadati; Pseudomonadota; Gammaproteobacteria; Enterobacterales; Enterobacteriaceae.
UUAAGCGACUAAGCGUACACGGUGGAUGCCCUGGCAGUCAGAGGCGAUGAAGGACGUGCUAAUCUGCGAUAAGCGUCGGUAAGGUGAUAUGAACCGUUAUAACCGGCGAUUUCCGAAUGGGGAAACCCAGUGUGUUUCGACACACUAUCAUUAACUGAAUCCAUAGGUUAAUGAGGCGAACCGGGGGAACUGAAACAUCUAAGUACCCCGAGGAAAAGAAAUCAACCGAGAUUCCCCCAGUAGCGGCGAGCGAACGGGGAGGAGCCCAGAGCCUGAAUCAGUGUGUGUGUUAGUGGAAGCGUCUGGAAAGGCGCGCGAUACAGGGUGACAGCCCCGUACACAAAAAUGCACAUAUUGUGAGCUCGAUGAGUAGGGCGGGACACGUGGUAUCCUGUCUGAAUAUGGGGGGACCAUCCUCCAAGGCUAAAUACUCCUGACUGACCGAUAGUGAACCAGUACCGUGAGGGAAAGGCGAAAAGAACCCCGGCGAGGGGAGUGAAAAAGAACCUGAAACCGUGUACGUACAAGCAGUGGGAGCACGCUUAGGCGUGUGACUGCGUACCUUUUGUAUAAUGGGUCAGCGACUUAUAUUCUGUAGCAAGGUUAACCGAAUAGGGGAGCCGAAGGGAAACCGAGUCUUAACUGGGCGUUAAGUUGCAGGGUAUAGACCCGAAACCCGGUGAUCUAGCCAUGGGCAGGUUGAAGGUUGGGUAACACUAACUGGAGGACCGAACCGACUAAUGUUGAAAAAUUAGCGGAUGACUUGUGGCUGGGGGUGAAAGGCCAAUCAAACCGGGAGAUAGCUGGUUCUCCCCGAAAGCUAUUUAGGUAGCGCCUCGUGAAUUCAUCUCCGGGGGUAGAGCACUGUUUCGGCAAGGGGGUCAUCCCGACUUACCAACCCGAUGCAAACUGCGAAUACCGGAGAAUGUUAUCACGGGAGACACACGGCGGGUGCUAACGUCCGUCGUGAAGAGGGAAACAACCCAGACCGCCAGCUAAGGUCCCAAAGUCAUGGUUAAGUGGGAAACGAUGUGGGAAGGCCCAGACAGCCAGGAUGUUGGCUUAGAAGCAGCCAUCAUUUAAAGAAAGCGUAAUAGCUCACUGGUCGAGUCGGCCUGCGCGGAAGAUGUAACGGGGCUAAACCAUGCACCGAAGCUGCGGCAGCGACGCUUAUGCGUUGUUGGGUAGGGGAGCGUUCUGUAAGCCUGUGAAGGUGUGCUGUGAGGCAUGCUGGAGGUAUCAGAAGUGCGAAUGCUGACAUAAGUAACGAUAAAGCGGGUGAAAAGCCCGCUCGCCGGAAGACCAAGGGUUCCUGUCCAACGUUAAUCGGGGCAGGGUGAGUCGACCCCUAAGGCGAGGCCGAAAGGCGUAGUCGAUGGGAAACAGGUUAAUAUUCCUGUACUUGGUGUUACUGCGAAGGGGGGACGGAGAAGGCUAUGUUGGCCGGGCGACGGUUGUCCCGGUUUAAGCGUGUAGGCUGGUUUUCCAGGCAAAUCCGGAAAAUCAAGGCUGAGGCGUGAUGACGAGGCACUACGGUGCUGAAGCAACAAAUGCCCUGCUUCCAGGAAAAGCCUCUAAGCAUCAGGUAACAUCAAAUCGUACCCCAAACCGACACAGGUGGUCAGGUAGAGAAUACCAAGGCGCUUGAGAGAACUCGGGUGAAGGAACUAGGCAAAAUGGUGCCGUAACUUCGGGAGAAGGCACGCUGAUAUGUAGGUGAAGUCCCUUGCGGAUGGAGCUGAAAUCAGUCGAAGAUACCAGCUGGCUGCAACUGUUUAUUAAAAACACAGCACUGUGCAAACACGAAAGUGGACGUAUACGGUGUGACGCCUGCCCGGUGCCGGAAGGUUAAUUGAUGGGGUCAGCGCAAGCGAAGCUCUUGAUCGAAGCCCCGGUAAACGGCGGCCGUAACUAUAACGGUCCUAAGGUAGCGAAAUUCCUUGUCGGGUAAGUUCCGACCUGCACGAAUGGCGUAAUGAUGGCCAGGCUGUCUCCACCCGAGACUCAGUGAAAUUGAACUCGCUGUGAAGAUGCAGUGUACCCGCGGCAAGACGGAAAGACCCCGUGAACCUUUACUAUAGCUUGACACUGAACAUUGAGCCUUGAUGUGUAGGAUAGGUGGGAGGCUUUGAAGUGUGGACGCCAGUCUGCAUGGAGCCGACCUUGAAAUACCACCCUUUAAUGUUUGAUGUUCUAACGUUGACCCGUAAUCCGGGUUGCGGACAGUGUCUGGUGGGUAGUUUGACUGGGGCGGUCUCCUCCUAAAGAGUAACGGAGGAGCACGAAGGUUGGCUAAUCCUGGUCGGACAUCAGGAGGUUAGUGCAAUGGCAUAAGCCAGCUUGACUGCGAGCGUGACGGCGCGAGCAGGUGCGAAAGCAGGUCAUAGUGAUCCGGUGGUUCUGAAUGGAAGGGCCAUCGCUCAACGGAUAAAAGGUACUCCGGGGAUAACAGGCUGAUACCGCCCAAGAGUUCAUAUCGACGGCGGUGUUUGGCACCUCGAUGUCGGCUCAUCACAUCCUGGGGCUGAAGUAGGUCCCAAGGGUAUGGCUGUUCGCCAUUUAAAGUGGUACGCGAGCUGGGUUUAGAACGUCGUGAGACAGUUCGGUCCCUAUCUGCCGUGGGCGCUGGAGAACUGAGGGGGGCUGCUCCUAGUACGAGAGGACCGGAGUGGACGCAUCACUGGUGUUCGGGUUGUCAUGCCAAUGGCACUGCCCGGUAGCUAAAUGCGGAAGAGAUAAGUGCUGAAAGCAUCUAAGCACGAAACUUGCCCCGAGAUGAGUUCUCCCUGACUCCUUGAGAGUCCUGAAGGAACGUUGAAGACGACGACGUUGAUAGGCCGGGUGUGUAAGCGCAGCGAUGCGUUGAGCUAACCGGUACUAAUGAACCGUGAGGCUUAACCUU